CCUACGGGUGGCAGCAGUGGGGAAUAUUGGACAAUGGGGCAACCCUGAUCCAGCCAUGCCGCGUGGGUGAAGAAGGCCCUCGGGUUGUAAAGCACUUUCAGUGAGGAAGAACGCCUGGUGGUUAAUACCCAUCAGGAAAGACAUCACUCACAGAAGAAGCACCGGCUAACUCCGUGCCAGCAGCCGCGGUAAUACGGAGGGUGCGAGCGUUAAUCGGAAUUACUGGGCGUAAAGCGCGCGUAGGUGGCUUGAUAAGCCGGUUGUGAAAGCCCCGGGCUCAACCUGGGAACGGCAUCCGGAACUGUCAAGCUAGAGUGCAGGAGAGGAAGGUAGAAUUCCCGGUGUAGCGGUGAAAUGCGUAGAGAUCGGGAGGAAUACCAGUGGCGAAGGCGGCCUUCUGGACUGACACUGACACUGAGGUGCGAAAGCGUGGGUAGCAAACAGGAUUAGAUACCCUGGUAGUC
This 464-nucleotide ribosomal RNA is filed under the name Vreelandella stevensii. Its description in RNAcentral is "partial 16S ribosomal RNA". It matches the Rfam family "Bacterial small subunit ribosomal RNA", at positions 338 to 795 of the family's 1533-position model. Lineage: Bacteria; Pseudomonadati; Pseudomonadota; Gammaproteobacteria; Oceanospirillales; Halomonadaceae. The record is from RNAcentral.